GCGGGAAACCUUUACACUGCACGAAAGUGCGAUAGGGGUACUCUGAGUGCUUACAUUUUAUGUAAGCUUUUGCUAAGAGUAAGCAUCUUAGCGAAUAAGUGGUGGGUAAGACUGGUGCCAGCCGCCGCGGUAACCCCAGCGCCACGAGUGGGAACCACAUUUAUUGGGUCUAAAGCAUCCGUAGCUCGCUUGAUUAGUUCUUUGUGAAAUCAUUAAUGUCAACUUAAUGGCGUGCAAAGAAUACUAGUCAGGCUUGGGAUUGGGAGAAGUCAGCGGUAUUUCCGGGGAAGCGGUAAAAUGUUAUAAUCCUGGGAGGACCACCAAUGGCGAAGGCAGCUGACUAGAACAAGUCCGACGGUGAGGGAUGAAAGCUAGGGGAUCAAAACGG
This 388-nucleotide ribosomal RNA is filed under the name uncultured euryarchaeote. Its description in RNAcentral is "bacterial SSU rRNA". It matches the Rfam family "Archaeal small subunit ribosomal RNA", at positions 339 to 727 of the family's 1478-position model. Lineage: Archaea; Methanobacteriati; Methanobacteriota. The record is from RNAcentral.